This is a long non-coding RNA of Ornithorhynchus anatinus (platypus), 436 nucleotides long. RefSeq lists it as uncharacterized. The record is from RefSeq and is a predicted model, not a curated record. NCBI's taxonomy places the organism in Eukaryota, Metazoa, Chordata, Mammalia, Monotremata, Ornithorhynchidae. The transcript is spliced from 2 exons.
AUAAGCAGAAACCUGAACCGUAUCAGUUGCUAUAGCAACUGACAACUAAGCAAGGGUGCAUCUAAAGAGGAUGCUUGACCCCUUGGGAGGAAGUGGAAGUUUACAUGAGGGGCAGAAUGUUGAUCACUUAAGACAAGAGGCCCCACAUUAAGGGCACUGCAAGAUUACGAUCAAAUACCAGCAAAUAAAUCUAGGAAUGAACUUUACACUUGAGAAGACUGCACUCAUCGUUGUCUGCCGUUACAAGUUUUAACUAAGUUAUUGAAAGUGAAGGAAAGCCUUUCUGGGAUGGAGAUGUUUUUUGGCCGAUUCGCUACAAAAUCUGUUAAUUCACAUUAGGCAACUGAAAUGACUUUUCCAUGUUAUGUGAACACCUUGAAAUAGUACUGAGGUUUUAUUUCAUGGACAUUGUAUUUCAAUAAAAGUUUAACCAGGA